UCUUUAGAAAUCUUGAAUAAGGCUGGG
Molecule: non-coding RNA, 27 nt
Filed under: Cricetulus griseus (Chinese hamster)
Lineage: Eukaryota; Metazoa; Chordata; Mammalia; Rodentia; Cricetidae
Source: RNAcentral